RNAcentral lists this ribosomal RNA (500 nucleotides) under uncultured Glomeromycotina. Its description in RNAcentral is "partial small subunit ribosomal RNA". It matches the Rfam family "Eukaryotic small subunit ribosomal RNA", at positions 591 to 1092 of the family's 1831-position model. The record is from RNAcentral. Lineage: Eukaryota; Fungi; Glomeromycota.
CCGAUAGCGUAUAUUAAAGUUGUUGCAGUUAAAAAGCUCGUAGUUGAAUUUCGGGGUUAGUAGGUUGGUCAUGCCUCUGGUAUGUACUGGUCUCACUGAUUCCUCCUUCCUGAUGAACUGUAAUGCCAUUAAUUUGGUGUUGCGGGGAAUUUGGACUGUUACUUUGAAAAAAUUAGAGUGUUUAAAGCAAGCUAACGCUUGAAUACAUUAGCAUGGAAUAAUGAAAUAGGACGUUCGAUCCUAUUUUGUUGGUUUCUAGGAUUGACGUAAUGAUUAAUAGGGAUAGUUGGGGGCAUUAGUAUUCAAUUGUCAGAGGUGAAAUUCUUGGAUUUAUUGAAGACUAACUACUGCGAAAGCAUUUGCCAAGGAUGUUUUCAUUAAUCAAGAACGAAAGUUAGGGGAUCGAAGACGAUCAGAUACCGUCGUAGUCUUAACCAUAAACUAUGCCGACUAGGGAUCGGAUGAUGUUAAUUUUUUAAUGACUCAUUCGGCGCCUUACG